AUCAUACGUAUCCUCCAUUGAUUACGACAAAUUCGUUAUUUUCUCAGACUCUAAGUGCGCUCUUCAACAUGUAGCUCGAUGUACAUCUAACGCUAGAAGUACUCCCGUAGCAUACAGAAUUUUAAAACAAAUAUGUAGUUUGAGAGAACAGUCUAAAACAGUUUUUUUGCAGUGGAUUCCAUCUCAUAUUGACCUAUUAGGUAACGAUAUGGCGGAUACUCUAGCAAAGCCUAUCUUUUCCGAGUGUUUACACAUAGUUAAAAAUAAAUGCAAUGAUUUGUGGAGAGAAUAUUUUGAUAAAAGGUCGAAAGACAAAGGCAUCUGGUACCGGACCAUACAACCUCACCCACCCAAUGUACCUUGGAUAGACACAGUGUUAUUGAACAGAAAAGACGUUGUCACCGCUUUACGGUUGCGGUCUGGACAUAUUCCAUUCAAUAAAUUUGGCCAUUUGAUGGGUAUAACUCCACACCCUAAUUGUUUAGUUUGUGGAGUAGUAGAGGAUGCCUAUCAUAUAUUAAUGGAAUGUGUUAAGAACGAAACCAGAAGACGCCAAUUUUUCCCAUA
Long non-coding RNA from Melitaea cinxia (Glanville fritillary), 567 nucleotides. RefSeq lists it as uncharacterized. Lineage: Eukaryota; Metazoa; Arthropoda; Insecta; Lepidoptera; Nymphalidae. The record is from RefSeq and is a predicted model, not a curated record. The transcript is spliced from 2 exons.